Molecule: ribosomal RNA, 253 nt
Filed under: uncultured bacterium
Lineage: Bacteria
Description: partial 16S ribosomal RNA
Rfam family: Bacterial small subunit ribosomal RNA
Source: RNAcentral
UACGGAGGGUGCAAGCGUUAAUCGGAAUUACUGGGCGUAAAGCGCGCGUAGGCGGUUUUUUAAGGCGGAUGUGAAAGCCCCGGGCUCAACCUGGGAACUGCAUCCGAUACUGGAAGACUAGAAUGCGGGAGAGGGAGGUAGAAUUCCAUGUGUAGCAGUGAAAUGCGUAGAUAUAUGGAGGAAUACCAGUGGCGAAGGCGGCCUCCUGGCUCGACAUUGACGCUGAGGUGCGAAAGCGUGGGGAGCAAACGGG